This 462-nucleotide ribosomal RNA is filed under the name uncultured Planctomycetaceae bacterium. RNAcentral describes it as "bacterial SSU rRNA". It matches the Rfam family "Bacterial small subunit ribosomal RNA", at positions 338 to 795 of the family's 1533-position model. Lineage: Bacteria; Pseudomonadati; Planctomycetota; Planctomycetia; Planctomycetales; Planctomycetaceae. The record is from RNAcentral.
CCUACGGGGGGCUGCAGUCGAGAAUCUUCGGCAAUGGGCGCAAGCCUGACCGAGCGACGCCGCGUGCGGGAUGAAGGCCCUCGGGUUGUAAACCGCUGUCAGUUGGGAGGAAAUCACAUGGGGUUCUCUCCAUGUGUUGACCUAUCUUCAGAGGAAGGACGGGCUAAGUUCGUGCCAGCAGCCGCGGUAAGACGAACCGUCCAAACGUUAUUCGGAAUUACUGGGCUUAAAGGGUGCGUAGGCGGCUUCGCAAGUUGGGUGUGAAAUCCCUCGGCUCAACCGAGGAAUGGCGCCCAAAACUGCGGAGCUCGAGGGAGACAGAGGUGAGUGGAACUUGUGGUGGAGCGGUGAAAUGCGUUGAUAUCACAAGGAACACCGGUGGCGAAAGCGGCUCACUGGGUCUUUUCUGACGCUGAGGCACGAAAGCUUGGGGAGCGAACGGGCUUAGAUACCCCAGUAGUC